RNAcentral lists this ribosomal RNA (322 nucleotides) under Lamproderma ovoideum. Its description in RNAcentral is "SSU rRNA". It matches the Rfam family "Eukaryotic small subunit ribosomal RNA", at positions 80 to 350 of the family's 1831-position model. The record is from RNAcentral. Lineage: Eukaryota; Evosea; Eumycetozoa; Stemonitida; Stemonitidae.
UCUGAAUCUGCGAACGGCUCCGCAAACCAGUUGUAAACUAUAGCAAGCAGGCUCGGGGUCGGCCUUCACGGGCUGGCCUCGGGUGAUAUGGAUAACCCUGGUAAUUCUGAGGCUAAUACAUGAACGUAGAACCCGGUUGACUAGGCUUCACGGCCCGGGAUGCUGGGGGAUGUGCGAUUGGCAGGCUUGGGUAACACCGGGAAAGGGCGCGCGUCCAGACCGCGCUAUAAAGGAUGGGCUCCUCACGGGGCCUGCCCCAGCGGCUCUUGCUGUGUGGUUCUGACCUAUCAACUAGACGGCAGCGUAAGGGACAUGCUAUGGU